Molecule: ribosomal RNA, 165 nt
Filed under: Arthrobacter sp. TPD3018
Lineage: Bacteria; Bacillati; Actinomycetota; Actinomycetes; Micrococcales; Micrococcaceae
Description: partial 16S ribosomal RNA
Rfam family: Bacterial small subunit ribosomal RNA
Source: RNAcentral
AAACUUGAGAGUUUGAUCAUGGCUCAGAACGAACGCUGGCGGCAUGCCUAACACAUGCAAGUCGAACGAGUGCCUUCGGGUGCUAGUGGCGCACGGGUGCGUAACGCGUGGGAAUCUGCCCUUUGGUUCGGAAUAACAGUUGGAAACGACUGCUAAUACCGGAUG